This 253-nucleotide ribosomal RNA is filed under the name uncultured bacterium. Its description in RNAcentral is "partial 16S ribosomal RNA". It matches the Rfam family "Bacterial small subunit ribosomal RNA", at positions 524 to 776 of the family's 1533-position model. The record is from RNAcentral.
UACGUAGGCAGCAAGCGUUGUUCGGAAUUACUGGGCGUAAAGAGUGUGUAGGCGGUGCUCCAAGUUUGGUGUGAAAUCUCCCGGCUUAACUGGGAGGGUGCGCCGAAAACUGGAAGGCUUGAGUAUGGGAGAGGUAAGCGGAAUUCCUGGUGUAGCGGUGAAAUGCGUAGAUAUCAGGAGGAACACCUGCGGUGUAGACGGCUUACUGGACCAUAACUGACGCUGAGGCACGAAAGCGUGGGUAGCAAACAGG